Molecule: ribosomal RNA, 764 nt
Filed under: uncultured Streptococcus sp.
Lineage: Bacteria; Bacillati; Bacillota; Bacilli; Lactobacillales; Streptococcaceae
Description: bacterial SSU rRNA
Rfam family: Bacterial small subunit ribosomal RNA
Source: RNAcentral
GACGAACGCUGGCGGCGUGCCUAAUACAUGCAAGUAGAACGCUGAAGGAGGAGCUUGCUUCUCUGGAUGAGUUGCGAACGGGUGAGUAACGCGUAGGUAACCUGCCUGGUAGCGGGGGAUAACUAUUGGAAACGAUAGCUAAUACCGCAUAAGAGUGGAUGUUGCAUGACAUUUGCUUAAAAGGUGCACUUGCAUCACUACCAGAUGGACCUGCGUUGUAUUAGCUAGUUGGUGGGGUAACGGCUCACCAAGGCGACGAUACAUAGCCGACCUGAGAGGGUGAUCGGCCACACUGGGACUGAGACACGGCCCAGACUCCUACGGGAGGCAGCAGUAGGGAAUCUUCGGCAAUGGACGGAAGUCUGACCGAGCAACGCCGCGUGAGUGAAGAAGGUUUUCGGAUCGUAAAGCUCUGUUGUAAGAGAAGAACGAGUGUGAGAGUGGAAAGUUCACACUGUGACGGUAUCUUACCAGAAAGGGACGGCUAACUACGUGCCAGCAGCCGCGGUAAUACGUAGGUCCCGAGCGUUGUCCGGAUUUAUUGGGCGUAAAGCGAGCGCAGGCGGUUAGAUAAGUCUGAAGUUAAAGGCUGUGGCUUAACCAUAGUAGGCUUUGGAAACUGUUUAACUUGAGUGCAAGAGGGGAGAGUGGAAUUCCAUGUGUAGCGGUGAAAUGCGUAGAUAUAUGGAGGAACACCGGUGGCGAAAGCGGCUCUCUGGCUUGUAACUGACGCUGAGGCUCGAAAGCGUGGGGGAGCAAACAGG